Non-coding RNA from Harpegnathos saltator (Jerdon's jumping ant), 46 nucleotides. Lineage: Eukaryota; Metazoa; Arthropoda; Insecta; Hymenoptera; Formicidae. The record is from Rfam.
CAAACGGCCCUUUUCAGGGCCACUAAUUUGAAACGAGGAACAUCUU